UAGCCGUUCAAGUGAGUAGGGUGUUGCGUAGGCAAAUCCGCGCAACGUGAGCCUGAGACACGAUGACGAGUGAAAAAUAGUAACGAAGUCCUUGAUCCUCCGCUGCCAAGAAAAGCUGCUAAGGAAUAUAGAGGUGCCCGUACCGCAAACCGACACAGGUAGACAGGUAGAGAAUACUAAGGCGCGCGAGAUAACUCUUGUUAAGGAACUCUGCAAAAUGAACCCGUAACUUCGGGAGAAGGGUUGCUCUCUAGCGUGAGUAUGAGCAAUACAGAGCGCAGGAGAGUCGCAGUGAAAAGGUCCAGGCGACUGUUUAGCAAAAACACAGGUCAUUGCAAAAUCGCAAGAUGAAGUAUAAUGGCUGACGCCUGCCCGGUGCUGGAAGGUUAAGGGGAAGAGUGCAAGCUUUGAACCGAAGCCCCAGUAAACGGCGGCCGUAACGAUAACGGUCCUAAGGUAGCGAAAUUCCUUGUCGGGUAAGUUCCGACCCGCACGAAAGGCGAAACGAUCUGGACGCUGUCUCAACAAGGGACUCGGUGAAAUUGAAAUUCCGGUAAAGAUGCCGGAUACCUGCGAUAGGACAGAAAGACCCCAUGGAGCUUUACUGUAGCCUGAUAUUGGGUUUCGGAUAUUCAUGUACAGGAUAGGUGGGAGACUAAGAAGCAUGGACGCCAGUUUGUGCGGAGUCACUGGUGGGAUACCACCCUUAAAUGUUUGGAAUUCUAACAAGGAGUCUUGAAGCAGAUUAUUGGACAGUGUCAGGUGGGCAGUUUGACUGGGGCGGUCGCCUCCCAAAAGGUAACGGAGGCGCUCAAAGGUUCCCUCAGAACGGAUGGAAAUCGUUCGCAGAGUGCAAAGGCAGAAGGGAGCUUGACUGCGAGAGCCACAACUCGAGCAGAUAGGAAACUAGGACUUAGUGAUCCGGCGGUCGCGAGUGGAAGUGCCGUCGCUCAACGGAUAAAAGCUACCCUGGGGAUAACAGGCUUAUCUCCCCCAAGAGUUCACAUCGACGGGGAGGUUUGGCACCUCGAUGUCGGCUCAUCGCAUCCUGGGGCUGAAGUAGGUCCCAAGGGUUGGGCUGUUCGCCCAUUAAAGCGGUACGCGAGCUGGGUUCAGAACGUCGUGAGACAGUUCGGUCCCUAUCCAUCGCGGGCGUAGGAAAUUUGAAGGGAGCUGACCCUAGUACGAGAGGACCGGGUUGGACAGACCGCUGGUGAACCAGUUGUUCUGCCAAGAGCAUAGCUGGGUAGCUAAGUCUGGAAAAGAUAAACGCUGAAAGCAUCUAAGCGUGAAGCGAACCUUAAGAUGAGAUUUCCCACAACGAAAGUUGAUAAGACACCAGAGAGAAUAACUGGUAGAUAGGUCAGGAGUGUAAGUGUGGUGACACAUUGAGCGGACUGAUACUAAUAAGUCGAAGACUUAGCCG
RNAcentral lists this ribosomal RNA (1426 nucleotides) under metagenome. Its description in RNAcentral is "bacterial LSU rRNA". It matches the Rfam family "Bacterial large subunit ribosomal RNA", at positions 1505 to 2925 of the family's 2925-position model. The record is from RNAcentral.